GAAAUCCUGGCUCAGGACGAACGCUGGCGGCGCGCCUAACACAUGCAAGUCGAACGAGCGAGAGAGAGCUUGCUUUCUCAAGCGAGUGGCGAACGGGUGAGUAACGCGUGAGGAACCUGCCUCAAAGAGAGGGACAACAGUUGGAAACGACUGCUAAUACCGCAUAAGCCCACGGCUCGGCAUCGAGCAGAGGGAAAAGGAGCAAUCCGCUUUGAGAUGGCCUCGCGUCCGAUUAG
RNAcentral lists this ribosomal RNA (236 nucleotides) under uncultured bacterium. RNAcentral describes it as "partial 16S ribosomal RNA". It matches the Rfam family "Bacterial small subunit ribosomal RNA", at positions 13 to 244 of the family's 1533-position model. The record is from RNAcentral.